This 497-nucleotide ribosomal RNA is filed under the name uncultured bacterium. RNAcentral describes it as "partial 16S ribosomal RNA". It matches the Rfam family "Bacterial small subunit ribosomal RNA", at positions 28 to 507 of the family's 1533-position model. The record is from RNAcentral.
GAUGAACGCUGGCGGCGUGCCUAAUACAUGCGAGUCGAGCGAACAGACGAGGAGCUUGCUCCUCUGACGUUAGCGGCGGACGGGUGAGUAACACGUGGAUAACCUACCUAUAAGACUGGGAUAACUUCGGGAAACCGGAGCUAAUACCGGAUAAUAUAUUGAACCGCAUGGUUCAAUAGUGAAAGACGGUUUUGCUGUCACUUAUAGAUGGAUCCGCGCCGCAUUAGCUAGUUGGUAAGGUAACGGCUUACCAAGGCGACGAUGCGUAGCCGACCUGAGAGGGUGAUCGGCCACACUGGAACUGAGACACGGUCCAGACUCCUACGGGAGGCAGCAGUAGGGAAUCUUCCGCAAUGGGCGAAAGGCUGACGGAGCAACGCCGCGUGAGUGAUGAAGGUCUUCGGAUCGUAAAACUCUGUUAUUAGGGAAGAACAAAUGUGUAAGUAACUAUGCACGUCUUGACGGUACCUAAUCAGAAAGCCACGGCUAACUACGUG